RNAcentral lists this ribosomal RNA (440 nucleotides) under uncultured bacterium. Its description in RNAcentral is "partial 16S ribosomal RNA". It matches the Rfam family "Bacterial small subunit ribosomal RNA", at positions 338 to 795 of the family's 1533-position model. The record is from RNAcentral.
CCUACGGGGGACAGCAGUAGGGAAUAUUGCUCAAUGGGGGAAACCCUGAAGCAGCAACGCCGCGUGAAGGAUGAAGGUUUUCGGAUUGUAAACUCCUUUUGUUAGAGAAGAUAAUGACGGUAUCUAACGAAUAAGCACCGGCUAACUCCGUGCCAGCAGCCGCGGUAAUACGGAGGGGGCAAGCGUUACUCGGAAUCACUGGGCGUAAAGAGCGCGUAGGCGGGAUAGCAAGUCAGAUGUGAAAUCCUAGGGCUUAACCAUAGAACUGCAUUGGAAACUGUUAUUCUAGAGUAUGGGAGAGGUAGGUGGAAUUCUUGGUGUAGGGGUAAAAUCCGUAGAGAUCAAGAGGAAGACUCAUUGCGAAGGCGACCUGCUAGAACAUAACUGACGCUGAUGCUCGAAAGCGUGGGGAGCAAACAGGAUUAGAUACCCGAGUAGUC